AUGGUUGCACUAAAUCAACAUGUGCAGAACUACUUCUCACAUUUAUUCACGUCUGAGGUGCAGCAUACAGAUCCAAGUUUGUUGGACAAAGUUCAACCGAAGGUGACAGAUCAAAUGAAUACCUUCUUGAUGGCUCCAUAUACGGCUGAUGAUGUCAAAAAAGUUGUAUUCAGUAUUGGAGAUUUGAAGGCUCCAGGACUGGAUGGGCUUCAUGCAAUAAUUUUCAAAAAGUACUGGCAUAUUCUUGGAGAGGAGAUUACUUAGGAGGUAUUGCUUGCUAUUAAUGCUCGACAGAUCCCGGAAGAAUGGAACAGUACAACCAUUGUUAUGAUUCCAAAGGUGGAGAACCCGGAGCUGGUAACUCAAUUUAGACCCAUCAGUUUAUGUAAUGUCUUAUAUAAGAUAAUUUCAAAGAUGCUAGCCUUACGACUUAAGAGUAUCCUACCUGAUAUAAUAUCUCCCACGCAAAGUGCCUUUGUUCCUGGUAGGAUUAUAACAGAUAACAUCCUGAUUGCCUAUGAAUGUGUGCACAAAAUCAAGAAUACAAGAGCUAGCCGAACUGGGUUAUGUGCAGUGAAGUUGGACAUGCAUAAGGCAUACGACAGAGUUGAGUGGUCCUUCUUACAUGAUAUGAUGGUGAAGCUAGGGUUUCAUGAACAAUGGAUUGAAAUGGUGAUGGCAUGUGUGAGUUCAGUUAAAUAUAGAGUAAGAUUUAACUCACAGGAGACAGAUAUGUUGGUUCCAGACAGGGGCAUCAGGCAGGGGGAUCCCCUAUCCCCCUACCUUUUUCUCUUAUGUGCAGAGGGUCUUUCUAGUCUAUUGCAGUUUGAAGAAGAAGCUGGUGGCAUAGAGGGAAUCAGAGUGUGCAGGAAUGCACCAUCAGUAUCACACCUUUUAUUCGCUGAUGAUUCUUUGAUUCUCAUGAAAGCAGAUGUGUUAAAUGCAGCUUCCUUACAGUAUGUUCUAGAAGCCUACGCCAAAGCUCGGAUGGUGAGUCUGGCAAAGAGUAGCAUUUUCUUCAGUCCUAACACACGGGUGGCUUCGAGGGCUGAGAUAUGUCAGGAAUUACAUAUUGAUACUGAGGCCUUAUCGGAUAAAUACCUUGGGCUCCCAGCAAUGGUAGGAGCAGACAAGAGUGAUUGCUUUAGACACUUCUAUGAAAGAAUUAAGGAGAAACUUAAGGGAUGGAUGGAAAAACAAUUAUCAACUGGAGGAAAGGAGAUCUUGCUAAAAUCUGUUGCGCAGGCUAUCCCAGUGUUUGCUAUGUCUAUUUUCUGUCUGCCUAAAGGGUUAUGCAAAGAGAUCACAGAUCUAAUAUCACAAUUUUGGUGGGGGGAUGAUGAGGAACAUAGAAGAAUGCAUUGGUACUCAUGGUGGAAACUAUGUUAUCCAAAAUGUGAGGGUGGUAUGGGGUUUCGAGAUCUUUACUCCUUCAACCUGGCUAUGCUCUCUAAACAGAUCUGGAGAUUGAUAACCAACCCUGAUUCCCUAUGUGCGCGAGUGCUGAAGGCAAAAUACUUUCCAAAUAAUUCGUUGCUUCAAGCCACUUUAAAGAAUGGAGCGUCGUUCACCUGGCAAAGCAUCAUGAAAGGGCUG
This 1596-nucleotide ribosomal RNA is filed under the name Triticum aestivum (bread wheat). RNAcentral describes it as "partial small subunit ribosomal RNA". The record is from RNAcentral. Lineage: Eukaryota; Viridiplantae; Streptophyta; Magnoliopsida; Poales; Poaceae.